This is a long non-coding RNA of Myzus persicae (green peach aphid), 2122 nucleotides long. RefSeq lists it as uncharacterized. The transcript has 3 exons. Lineage: Eukaryota; Metazoa; Arthropoda; Insecta; Hemiptera; Aphididae. The record is from RefSeq and is a predicted model, not a curated record.
UCCAUAUCUUUAUUAUCUAUGCUGCGUAUAGACAGACCCUGAUAACUAUAUUAAAAACCAUAGAUUUAAUAAAUAACAACAAAACAGUAACAGUAUAUUAUAGACCGUACAAUGGUAUGUACACAAAAUCGUUUUUUUGUUUGUUCCAAGUUUCAAGCAAAGUAUAUAAUUAUUAAACACAACAUUGUUUUACAAAUAUGCAAUAUUCAAAAUGCGAUAGUGAUGCGGCGCAGCCUGCAAUAGUAGCAAGUAUGGUACAAUGGUACAAUCACUAUUUCAGCAUUCUACCUCAUCUGGUGGCUUAUCAACACGCAUCAGUCAUCACCAACCAUCACAAACGAGCACGGGAAGCAAGCAGCAGGACUGAGGCGGGACUUGCCCGCAUAAGGCCAAAGCAUAGUCACCAAUAUUAAUAUUAAUAUUUCGUCAAAUGGCAUGAAAAUAUAUUAUAGUUUCUUAGCAUUAGUUAGCGUUGUAUGGUCAUGUUUAUUAGUGUCACAUUGGACGUGGAAAGUGGAAACUCGUACUCAUAAUCUUUAAUAUUUGUAUAACCGUCAUAACUCUAACUCAUAAUGACAAGCUGUGUCUGAUCGUUUUUCUAGUAAGUAAACACAUUUUGUGUUACUCUAAAUUUUUAUCACCUAUGUUCUGCAACUUAACUUGCUACUUGUCGGCAAACAAAUUUGUGGGUGAGUGAGCGUGUAGUGAGUAUUUUAAUUACACAUGAUAAUUGAAGUAUUAAACUUGCUAGUCACUUGGUGGCACUUGUCGCUUUAGCGAUUUUUCUAUCCAGCAAAGUGAUAAAAGUAGGCUGGUUGUUGAGUUUAUUCCUGCGAGCAGCGUAAGCUACUUGGUCUAUUGCAUUGAAUGAGGUGGGCAAUAAAAUAGCAGCAAUUCAAUUUUACUACAAGUAAAAGAAAACAAUUCUGUGACUUACAUUAAAUAUCUCUUUAAUUUUUUUGUUUGCACAAAAUAUUAUACUAAAUGAUUUCAUAAAAAAAAAAAAAUUGAAAAAUAUAUCAUACAAAAACAUUGAUAAAUCAACUGAAUAGGUAUAAUCUUAAUUAUGAUGAUAUUGAUUAUUAAUUUAUGUACUUAUCAAUGGUAAGUAUUUUAUUACUACCUUCGUGGAGAUCACUACUAGAUUGUUAAUUCCUAUUUUUUUAAUGUUGUCCCUUUCACUAUUAGUUGACUAUCUUUUAAUAGCUUCAACACGUUAGACCAUUUUAUCCCAAAACGUGAUUUGUUAGGACACUAUUUUUUUUCUGAUUUAACAUGUUUGGGUACUAUUGUCUACACUCUAUACUAAUUAAAUAUUAUGUUUAUUAUGUAUUUUUUUUAUGUAUGUAAACUGCAAAAUAUAUUGUACCUUUUUUUGUGAGUUAUAUAUAAGGUUAUAGUCUUAUGAGUUAGAAAUUGUAUGCUAUGGACAAUAUUAUAGAGUAUUCAGUAUAAGAAUAGCCAAGCACAUAGCUUUAGGAUGGCCUGGGGGCAUAUUUACUGACUAUCCCAUUAUAUUGUUGAAAUACCUAAGGCUCAAAUAAUUGAGUUAAAGUAUAAAAAAAUUUAACCAUAUUUUAAAUUUUUUACUUUAAUAAUUGUUAUUAUUACAUAAUUAUCUUAACACCAUGUUCUAUGGAAACACAACAAAUAUGAACAAAACAUCUUGUAACUUAUCGCACCAGAUGAAAUUUAAUGUUUGGUGCAUAGUCAGAAUAGAAAUUAUUUUUGUAGGUAUUUUUUGUGUAUGCAUCAAACUACUGUUUCAUAAAUCUGGGUUCUUAUUUUCACAUUUCCGAAUUACAUUCACUCCUUGGUAUAUAUGGCACAAAUUAUAAUAUUUACUUUUGUCGUAACUACUGGUACUAGGUACCUUUUUAUAAUAUUUAAAUAUUAAUACAAUAAUAUACUAAAAUUAUAUAAUAUUUGUUUUCUUAUUAUUCAGUUAUUUUUAGGGGAGGGAACAAUGCUGAGCAAGCUUUGUAAACAUUAUUGCUUAUUAUUAUAUGCUUAUUGAAUUAAGACCAAAAAAUAUUUUAAAUAUAAUUUAUUGUUUCAGUUAGCCGAAAGGUUCCAUCACACACUACGGAAAAUGGCAAAGCUUAAAUAAAAAACUGACGUG